GCAAGUCGAACGAGAACUCUUCUGCUUGCAGAAGAUAGUAAAGUGGCGAACGGGUGAGUAACGCGUGGGUAAUCUACCUUCGAAUCGGGGAUAACGUUGCGAAAGCGAUGCUAAUACCGGAUAAUAUUCUUUGGACCUCGGUCCUUUGAAUCAAGGGUGGCCUCUUCUUGAAAGCUACUGUUUGAAGAUGAGCCCGCGUACCAUUAGCUAGUUGGUAGGGUAAUGGCCUACCAAGGCGACGAUGGUUAGCUGGUCUGAGAGGAUGAUC
Molecule: ribosomal RNA, 268 nt
Filed under: uncultured bacterium
Lineage: Bacteria
Description: partial 16S ribosomal RNA
Rfam family: Bacterial small subunit ribosomal RNA
Source: RNAcentral